Pogona vitticeps (central bearded dragon) is the source of this 1289-nucleotide long non-coding RNA. RefSeq lists it as uncharacterized. Lineage: Eukaryota; Metazoa; Chordata; Lepidosauria; Squamata; Agamidae. The record is from RefSeq and is a predicted model, not a curated record.
UUGAAUUAUAUCAGCUUGCUUCUAAAUUAUUAUACUAUAAUGCACUCUAUGUGGGGCUGUCCUUUAAAAAAAGGCUCAGAAGCUACAGCUAGUGCAAAAUGCAACAAACAGAUGUAUCUGGCAUGCUCUUUAAAGACUAUAUAUUAGUGGGCCUGAACAAAGUGUAUGGGCUUCUUCUUUUUCCCCAAGCAAAAUUCAAGGGUCUGGUUUUUAUCUUUAAAGUCCUAAAUGGCUUUGGGCCAGGAUAUUUAAAAGACCACUUCCUUCUCUGUGACUCUGCUUGGAAUUACAAGUCUUCAGCAGAAGCCUGUUGCAUAUCCUAUCAACCUUAAAUGUUAGGCUGGUGAGUACACACAUCAGCAGCUGCCGUUUGAUUGUGGACAUCCCUCCAAAAAGAAGUUGACACCUUUCUUAGUGAGCUUCUGGACUUUGGUUCACUCCAGUUUGUCCCCCUUCUGAUUAGAGACACUCCCCUUCCCAUCACCAUUCCAGUCUUUUCCCAUGGCUCUCCUUCACUGAGCAUGGAAACGUUCCUGUUUUUGCUAAAUAAAAAAAAAAAAGGAAUGAUUCCCCUCCCCACACACAUUUGGAAGAUUAAAGAAAAUGGACCUUGGAGCAAACAGAAAAGAUGUUUAGAAUCAUUUGUAAAACAUGUUUCCAAGUGACAUAACCGAUAAUUAAGGGCACAGACUUAAAGAUUUCAUCUGUUGAUGACAGAAGCUUACCUGACGUGAUCAGAGAGAAGAGUUCACAGCCUAUGGCUAGGAUAAUCGACCUCUUUGAAUUAUAGGAAGCAUGAAUAGAACACACAAGCUCAUUUUUGGCCAUGCUUCAAAACUGGUGAACCUUUGUACUUAAGGUUCAGAAGACAGCUUUGAAGUUUGGGAUAAAACUCCUCUAACACAUCAUUACCAAAGAACAACCUUUUGAUUAUGAUCUCAUGAAAGUAUAAUCAAUAACUUAUGCACGCAAAAAGUGUAGUUUAGAAGCAAAGGUUUUGUAAUUGGAACUUUAUUCAUUCCGUGACUUUCUCUACUGGUUUUAUUUUGUACUCCUGUAUAAUAAAUCUCUCUUCUCCAAAAGGAAACUCUCUAUGGAGCUAUGAAACUUUUGUAGCUACUGCCAGUCAUUGACUAGUUAAGGCCAUGAAAGCAGGCUUAUGUGGCAUCUUUUAGACAUGUACACUUGUUGAAAUCCAAAGUUUAACCAUCAUCUGUCAUUAAGAUAAUAUUUUUCUGAGUGAACUAAUUUUCUGUAAAGAUUGAAACAAUAAAUGCUUAAGAAACAAA